GUCUCAGUUCGGAUUGUAGGCUGAAACUCGCCUACAUGAAGCUGGAGUUGCUAGUAAUCGCGAAUCAGCAUGUCGCGGUGAAUACGUUCCCGGGCCUUGUACACACCGCCCGUCACACCAUGGGAGUCAGCAACGCCCGAAGUCAGUGACCUAACCGAGAGGGAGGAGCUGCCGAAGGCGGGGCCGGUAACUGGGGUGAAGUCGUAACAAGGUACC
Molecule: ribosomal RNA, 216 nt
Filed under: uncultured bacterium
Lineage: Bacteria
Description: partial 16S ribosomal RNA
Rfam family: Bacterial small subunit ribosomal RNA
Source: RNAcentral